Molecule: ribosomal RNA, 372 nt
Filed under: Burkholderia sp. F3
Lineage: Bacteria; Pseudomonadati; Pseudomonadota; Betaproteobacteria; Burkholderiales; Burkholderiaceae
Description: bacterial SSU rRNA
Rfam family: Bacterial small subunit ribosomal RNA
Source: RNAcentral
CGGAAUNACUGGGCGUAAAGCGUGCGCAGGCGGUCCGCUAAGACAGAUGUGAAAUCCCCGGGCUUAACCUGGGAACUGCAUUUGUGACUGGCGGGCUAGAGUAUGGCAGAGGGGGGUAGAAUUCCACGUGUAGCAGUGAAAUGCGUAGAGAUGUGGAGGAAUACCGAUGGCGAAGGCAGCCCCCUGGGCCAAUACUGACGCUCAUGCACGAAAGCGUGGGGAGCAAACAGGAUUAGAUACCCUGGUAGUCCACGCCCUAAACGAUGUCAACUAGUUGUUGGGGAUUCAUUUCCUUAGUAACGUAGCUAACGCGUGAAGUUGACCGCCUGGGGAGUACGGUCGCAAGAUUAAAACUCAAAGGAAUUGACAGGA